RNAcentral lists this ribosomal RNA (446 nucleotides) under uncultured bacterium. RNAcentral describes it as "bacterial SSU rRNA". It matches the Rfam family "Bacterial small subunit ribosomal RNA", at positions 331 to 793 of the family's 1533-position model. The record is from RNAcentral.
CCAGACUCCUACGGGAGGCAGCAGUGGGGGAUAUUGCACAAUGGGGGGAACCCUGAUGCAGCGACGCCGCGUGGGUGAAGAAGUAUUUCGGUAUGUAAAGCCCUAUCGGCAGGGAAGAAAUUGGACGGUACCUGACUAGGAAGCCCCGGCUAACUACGUGCCAGCAGCCGCGGUAAUACGUAGGGGGCAAGCGUUAUCCGGAUUCACUGGGUGUAAAGGGAGCGUAGACGGCCAUGCAAGCCUGAAGUGAAAGCCCGGGGCCCAACCCCGGGACUGCUCUGGGAACUGUGCGGCUGGAGUGCGGGAGGGGCAGGCGGAAUUCCUGGUGUAGCGGUGAAAUGCGUAGAUAUAAGGAAGAACACCAGUGGCGAAGGCGGAUGACUGGACGGCAACUGACGGUGAGGCGCGAAAGCGUGGGGAGCAAACAGGAUUAGAUACCCCCGUAU